AGCUAGGCCUCAGAGGCAGCACUGGGUAGGACUGAGUGGAGCAAGCAGGGUGGGAGACCCAACCCCAGACCACACUCACCUGGGUUUCCAGAGGUCUCCAGGAGGUGAGGACUUAUUUGGUGGCCCUGCUUCACCCAACUGCUCUUCUAGCAUUUUCCACAUCAUGUGCUAUGAGUUGGAUUAAAUCAGAAUUCUCACACCUGGCUGUAAGUUAGAUUCGCCUGGAGAGCAGGCAGCAAUAUGUCUGAAAGCCCCCUAUGGUACACAACUGCUUGAUGAGAUCAUCAGUGGGAAUUUAGGUAUGAAUGACAAAGAAAUAAAAAUAUGCCUUCACCU
Molecule: long non-coding RNA, 336 nt
Organism: Sapajus apella (tufted capuchin)
Lineage: Eukaryota; Metazoa; Chordata; Mammalia; Primates; Cebidae
Exons: 3
Source: RefSeq, a predicted model, not a curated record